This is a long non-coding RNA of Bombus terrestris (buff-tailed bumblebee), 3409 nucleotides long. RefSeq lists it as uncharacterized. The record is from RefSeq and is a predicted model, not a curated record. The transcript is spliced from 3 exons. Lineage: Eukaryota; Metazoa; Arthropoda; Insecta; Hymenoptera; Apidae.
CUAUCGUACAUCUAUAAAACUGAAAAUGAUUUCAAAGUGAUAUUUUGCCAUUAAGCAGAUACGGAUUACAUCAAACGGAGAGAGAAACAUGUUUGACGUAUUUGAAAAAUAUAAAAGUGUAUUGUAUUUCACAUUCUUAACCAAUAAUUUAGCAGCGGUAAUAUUAAACACGGUUAUUUGUAUAUUAUUUAGAUAAAAUACGGAAUUCGAUGUUAUAGAUGUGAUUAACAUACUAUAAACUUGUUUGACAAGUAUUUCCAUAGGAGUUAUAUAUUGUUAAGCGUGAUUAAUAGUAAUGAUUUAAUAAUCGCUUCUAGUGGAGUAUUACAUUCCAAGCCUUGUUGGAAAUUAAUUAAUGGUGACGGCAAUCAGAAAACAGAGGUUACCUACUUAAUAGGCGGGGAUUCAAAUUAGACGAAAGUUAUUAUUAGAAAUAACGUAAAAUAUGUUGGUAAGUUAUUAAGUAAUUUAUCAAAAUGUGACAGAUAAUUAAAGAAAUAUCGUUACGAAGGAGAAAGAUCGUUACAUUGUACGAAGAAGUAAUUAUGUAAUUCAGUUUUAUGUAACGAUACACGUUUUUAAUGCUUCUAUGCGCGUCAAGCUUUCAUAAAGUACUCAUUUCAGUCACGAUUACUAUAAGAUUGCACGCGUGUAGCCAUUUAAUCAGUAUAUCCGAUUGCGAAUGCCAUUACAUAUACAUUUUAGAUAUCAGCGAACUAGUUGAUCAUAGGUAUAUUUAUCAACAUCCAAUCUUACGACGUGAUUUGUGAACCGCGUUAAUACAUUUUCAGAGCUACAUAAAGUCAGAGAUGUCUUCAUUUUUAUGUCUAUUUGUUCCAUACGUGACAUUUCUUGAACAUGAAGUAUGAGAUGCUUACAUAUGCACUAGAAUUUUAUUGUCUUCGAGUUGACAGUUUGGUUUCACAUGGAAGGUGUUAAUUACAUUAUUCUCGCUUAUCCACUUAGUCACUCCGACCAAAUGGAAUCUCAACAGGUUCUGAGAGAAACGUUAGGGAAAGCAUUUGUCCUAUAAAGGCUAAUACGAUAAUCAGUCGGGACUUUUUUUUAUCUAUAAAGAAAUCAAUAUAUGAGUAAUGCGGAAGAUAAUGAUCACUUACAACACUAAUGCUCUUGUCUGCUACUAGGUAGAUUAUUAGAUAGAAAGGUGAGAGGUCCCGAUAAUAAUUUAGCGAAUGGCCGAGCAACGACGCAGUCUCGGUGCAAGCGCGUCGUUUUACCUUGUCCAAUUGCAUACUUUAUGAGUUGCCCUGUAUGGUCAUGGACAUGGGACACCAUACUACACCGCUAUACUUUGCUUUGACAACGGCGAAAUGUUUAUUUAAUACAUGGAAAUCCCCGAUUCCUCGGUUCACUAGCAACACACGACUGUUUCAGUCUCUUUGGCCCGACCCACAAAUCCUUUCAUUUUUUUCAUGCUUUUCUCAAUGCUUGUACAUUCUUGACCACGUGAACAUUUUUCCUUUCGAAUAGAACACGUAUGAAGCAUAUUUGCUCUUGAUGUUUGUGCGCAAUUACUGUCAUUGCAUAUGGUUAGGUUUACAUAGCAUUUGCGUAGAACGACCUAAAUAAACAUUUAUACGAUUUUUAAAUUGUACGUUUCGAAAUACGAGACGCAUGCAGCAAUAUAAUGAACAUAAAGAUAUUAAUUUUAAAUAAGAUAUUAAAUUUUCAUUUAGAUGUUUUCGAAAUGAAGUAUUCAAAAUCGCUGAAGCUUUUAUGACAAACCAAAAUUUAUAGUUUCACUAUAAUCGAUUGAAUUCUUAUAUAUCGUGGUUUAACGAUGCGAGGACCAAGGGUAUAACAAUGUUAUAACGCGUGUCUUGUACUAGUUAAGUAUGUAUACGAGUACUCUGAAGAGUAUAAAAUUUGACCUAAAUACUUUCUAGGAGUAAAAAUAAAGCGGACAAUCCAGAAGCUGACAAGAAGUAUACUUUAAAUGCUUUUCAACGCAUUUAUAUGCAUACACGUUGUAGGUAUAUGUGAAUAUUCCGUGGUAAUUUACAAGGUUAGAUAUAUUGUACAACACUCAAGCUUAUGAUCAACGGAAUCACUGCACAUUAUAAACGUGUUUAAUUAUCAUUUAACGUCUUAACGUUUUGACGUGAUACGAUGAGGAUAAUGAAUGCUAAUCACGGCGUGGCGAGGAUAUUAAUUAAUCGUUAUAACGGUGUACAUACAGGUCGGUCGAGAUAAUGUUACAAUAAUUUACGAUGUUGUGUUCAAACCGAUAUCACAGGAGCUGGAGCACAUGAUUGGAAUAAAGUGGAUCACCUUCGUGCGGCUGACCUAACUUGUUCCUGGCGUCAAAUUAUCCUGUUGUCGGAUUGGUAUUGAGUCCUCGGCUGUAGAACUCUUUGAUCUUCCGCAGCUUAUCGAACCGUGUCGAAAGGAAAUACGCGAGGAAAUGUAGGCAUUAAAUCGAAACACGAAUCGUUUAUACAAUUACGGAACAAUGGGAGCAGCCUACACACACAUUAAUAACUUAAUCUGUGAAGUAUAUACGUCAUUCCGAUGGAUCGUAUACGUAGAGCUGCUUAUCAACCUAUUUUCAUUUUCUAUUAAGCAACGCGAAGGUAACUUGCUGUUUAUUCAUGUACAUGGAUAUGUACAUACAUUUAUUCAUGUGUACAUGGACGCUCUUUGAAAGAAAAAAAUCUUUAAAUUAACCUCGGGCUUAUUCUUGUCGUACUUUUUCCAUGAUCUUAGAAUAUUCACCGCAGGCUAAGAUCGCAGAACUAUAGCAAUGAUAUUGUUCGUGCAAGUGAACAAAGCCGUCGUGAAACACAUGCAAAAACAUGCGAGUCGUUACACGUAGACAGUCCAGUGGCCCGGUUGAUCGGCGGACUAGAGUGAGAAUACAUGAUUCCCGUAAUCAAAACUAAAAAUCGUUGCGAAGGAACGCUUUAUCGAUGCAAGAAGGUACGAUUGUGUUAGGCGAGGCUACCGCGUUAAACGUGCAAGUGGGUUAAUGGCGAAGUCCACACGAGAGAGAAGAGACCGAUAUACUAUAUGUACAUGCGUACAUUUUACAGUCUGACAGAUACUCUGACAGUUGAUGUUGAUGAACGAUCCCUCCCGGCCUUCGGGCAGCUAGCAUCGAUGGAGAGGUUCAACUGCAGCUGCACUUGCACCACUGGAGAGCGAACGGCCCCGCUAUACAUUUCGCCUCUCUUCCCUUGGGCCACUGCCACACUUUCGUGUGUAACAACCGGUGUAUUUGCUUUUUAGUUCUCCUUCGAACAUUAGAUGUUCGAAACUGGAGCACCGAGAGUUUUCGUCGAAUCUAAGAAAGUAUAUAAAUCGAGACGAAUAAAAUUGUCUUACUAGACGUUAUUAUAUGCGUUGUAGGUAGAAGUUAUGUUACGGUAGUAUUAUGAUUCGAUCGUUU